This 306-nucleotide ribosomal RNA is filed under the name Triticum aestivum (bread wheat). RNAcentral describes it as "partial small subunit ribosomal RNA". Lineage: Eukaryota; Viridiplantae; Streptophyta; Magnoliopsida; Poales; Poaceae. The record is from RNAcentral.
AUGGAAGAAAAACUCGUCUCCACCGUCCAUACCUUUGUUGGCAAAAGGUCGAACACCUUGCGGUCGCGGUGGCGAAGCGGCCGCGAUGAUCACCUCGACGUAGCAGGGGUGGUUGCCGGCCGGCUACUGGCCGCUCUGGAGCUCUCGUCGGAAUCUGCCUCGGCCGCCGUGGUCCGUCGCCGGCAGUCGUGUCCCCUCCGGCACCGGCAAGGACGACGACGGCCAAAACUACGGCGAAAGCGCGGGCGUGGUGGCGGCCAUGUCCAGACGUGGUUUGGUAUGGACGGCGGGGGGGCUGCGCGGUGA